AUUGAACGCUGGCGGCAUGCCUUACACAUGCAAGUCGAGCGGGGUUUUCGGACCUAGCGGCGGACGGGUGAGUAAUGCGUAGGAAGCUGCCCGAUAGAGGGGGAUACCAGUUGGAAACGACUGUUAAUACCGCAUAAUGUCUACGGACCAAAGUGUGGGACCUUCGGGCCACAUGCUAUCGGAUGCGCCUACGUGGGAUUAGCUAGUUGGUGAGGUAAUGGCUCACCAAGGCGACGAUCUCUAGCUGGUUUGAGAGGAUGAUCAGCCUCACUGGAACUGAGACACGGUCCAGACUCCUACGGGAGGCAGCAGUGGGGAAUAUUGGACAAUGGGCGCAAGCCUGAUCCAGCCAUGCCGCGUGUGUGAAGAAGGCCUUCGGGUUGUAAAGCACUUUCAGCGAGGAGGAAGGGUGGUGUGUUAAUAGCACAUCAUUUUGACGUUACUCGCAGAAGAAGCACCGGCUAACUCUGUGCCAGCCGCCGCGGUAA
RNAcentral lists this ribosomal RNA (488 nucleotides) under uncultured bacterium. RNAcentral describes it as "partial 16S ribosomal RNA". It matches the Rfam family "Bacterial small subunit ribosomal RNA", at positions 30 to 523 of the family's 1533-position model. The record is from RNAcentral.